Molecule: ribosomal RNA, 483 nt
Filed under: uncultured bacterium
Lineage: Bacteria
Description: partial 16S ribosomal RNA
Rfam family: Bacterial small subunit ribosomal RNA
Source: RNAcentral
GACGAACGCUGGCGGCGUGCUUAACACAUGCUAGUCGAACGCUGAAGCUCAGCUUUUGUUGGGUGGAUGAGUGGCGAACGGGUGAGUAACACGUGAGUAACCUGCCCCCUUCUUUGGGAUAACGCCCGGAAACGGGUGCUAAUACUGGAUAUUCACUGGUCUUCGCAUGGGGGUUGGUGGAAAGGGUUUUUCUGGUGGGGGAUGGGCUCGCGGCCUAUCAGCUUGUUGGUGGGGUGAUGGCCUACCAAGGCUUUGACGGGUAGCCGGCCUGAGAGGGUGACCGGUCACAUUGGGACUGAGAUACGGCCCAGACUCCUACGGGAGGCGGCAGUGGGGAAUAUUGCACAAUGGGCGCAAGCCUGAUGCAGCGACGCCGCGUGAGGGAUGGAGGCCUUCGGGUUGUGAACCUCUUUCGCUCAUGGUCAAGCCGCAACAAUGGUUGUGGUGAGGGUAGUGGGUAAAGAAGCGCCGGCUAACUACGUG